UGAGAGCGGCGGACGGGUGAGUAAUACCUAGGAAUCUGCCUGAUAGUGGGGGACAACGUUCGGAAACGGACGCUAAUACCGCAUACGUCCUACGGGAGAAAGCAGGGGACCUUCGGGCCUUGCGCUAUCAGAUGAGCCUAGGUCGGAUUAGCUAGUUGGUGAGGUAAUGGCUCACCAGGCUACGAUCCGUAACUGGUCUGAGAGGAUGAUCAGUCACACUGGAACUGAGACACGGUCCAGACUCCUACGGGAGGCAGCAGUGGGGAAUAUUGGACAAUGGGCGAAAGCCUGAUCCAGCCAUGCCGCGUGUGUGAAGAAGGUCUUCGGAUUGUAAAGCACUUUAAGUUGGGAGGAAGGGCAUUAACCUAAUACGUGGGUGUCUUGACGUUACCGACAGAAUAAGCACCGGCUAACUCUGUGCCAGCAGCCGCGGUAAUACAGAGGGUGCAAGCGUUAAUCGGAAUUACUGGGCGUAAAGCGCGCGUAGGUGGUUUGUUAAGUUGAAUGUGAAAUCCCCGGGCUCAACCUGGGAACUGCAUCCAAAACUGGCAAGCUAGAGUAUGGUAGAGGGUAGUGGAAUUUCCUGUGUAGCGGUGAAAUGCGUAGAUAUAGGAAGGAACACCAGUGGCGAAGGCGACUACCUGGACUGAUACUGACACUGAGGUGCGAAAGCGUGGGGAGCAAACAGGAUUAGAUACCCUGGUAGUCCACGCCGUAAACGAUGUCAACUAGCCGUUGGGAGUCUUGAACUCUUAGUGGCGCAGCUAACGCAUUAAGUUGACCGCCUGGGGAGUCGGCCGCAAGGUUAAAAC
RNAcentral lists this ribosomal RNA (812 nucleotides) under uncultured bacterium. RNAcentral's name for it is "bacterial SSU rRNA". It matches the Rfam family "Bacterial small subunit ribosomal RNA", at positions 90 to 900 of the family's 1533-position model. The record is from RNAcentral.